This is an RNA transcript of Quercus robur (English oak), 1687 nucleotides long. RefSeq lists it as uncharacterized. The transcript has 4 exons. NCBI's taxonomy places the organism in Eukaryota, Viridiplantae, Streptophyta, Magnoliopsida, Fagales, Fagaceae. The record is from RefSeq and is a predicted model, not a curated record.
AUGCUGCGUUUGUCUGAAGAUGAGGAGAGAGCUGUGAGAGAGUUCCGAAAUAUGUACAACAAUGAGAAGAAGAAGAAGAAGGAGAGCAGCUUUGUGGGCAGGGUGUUUAGGUCUCCUACCUUGUUUGAAGACAUGGUCAAGUGCAUGCUCCUCUGCAACUGCCAGUGGUCCAGGACUUUAAGCAUGGCUAGAGCACUUUGUGAGCUUCAGUUGGAACUGCAGCCUCAAUCAUCCAGUCUGUUAUUUGUGGCUGAUUCUGCAGCUGCUGCUGCAAGUACCAACUUUAAUACCCCAAAACCCGAUAAGGACCACUUCAUUCCCAACACACCCAUACCACAAGAGUCCAAGGUUUCAACGAAUUUUACAAAUUCUGGGUCUAUCAAAGCAGACUGUGUUCCAGCUGAUAUUGUACGCGAUGAUGACGAUGAUUAUUCAUGUCUAAACUCCAAAACUUGUCAGGCUGCGGAUGAACCACACAACAUUGCUUCUGACUAUGAUACCAUUGGAAAUUUUCCUAGCCCAACAGAAUUAGCAAACCUUGAUAAAGGCUUUCUGGCUUCAAGAUGCAAUCUUGGGUAUAGAGCAAGUCGCAUUUUGAAACUUGCCCGGGAUAUUGUUGAAGGCAGGAUUCAACUAGCACAACUUGAGGAGGCCAGUAAAGGAGCAAGCUUUGCCAAAUCCAGCAACUACGAUAAGUUGGCUAAACAGUUGAAAGAAAUUGAUGGAUUAGGUACUUUUACAGUGCCAAUGUGCUUAUGUGCAUGGGAUAUUACCCUGUCAUUCCAACAGAUUCUGAAACUAUUCGGCAUCUAAGAAAGGUCCAUGUGAGAAAUUCCACCGUUCAAACGGUACAGAGAGAUAUUAAACGUGUAUAUGGGAAGUAUGCGCCAUUUCAGUUCUUGGCAUACUGGUGUGUGUGUAUAUAUCAUACAAAUGAAUAAUUCUUAGGUAUUCUAUACUCUCUCCUCUCACAUUCAUUGUGGAGUCUGCUCAUUGAAUUCAUGGUGGAGUCUACUUUGAAUGUGAUAGGAGGGAGCACUAUUUCUCCGUGCUCCGGAAGUACCUAAAAAUUUUCCUAUACAAAUAGUAUAAUUCCGUAUCAAAUACUAUCUUCUUCAUAUUUUUCUUUUAACAUUUUUGUAAUUCUCGUCAACUAAUUUUGCUACUUAAUAUCUCCUUUGAUUAGGUCAAAACUCUGGCACUUCUAUGAAAAGACGUUUGGGAAGCCAAGCGAAAUGCUAUACUCUGAUUAUAAACUAAUCACUGCCAGUAAUAUGGGAAGCACAAGUAGUACAAAAAAGAGGAAGAAAAAAUGCUGACCAAAGUCAAGCCUAGCAUUAGCUUGGAUGACCAAAAAAUAUGCAAAAAGCCAAUUAACCUGCCAUGCACUAUCUUCCCUCAAAGUUGUCAACAUUGAAGUAGCAGCCACGGUAGCUUGCCAUACUAUGCCUAAGUGCAACCACCAGCCUGCCAUGUGUAGGCACCUGCAUGGCAUUAGAAAGCCAUGCCAUUGGUCAUGCACAAGCAAUGUACUUGAUCCUGUACUUUCAUCGGAUUUUACCACCUCGCUUCUUAAUGUUGUAACUUGUAUCCAGAAAUUGAAUGAAUGAGGCACUUCAGCUCACUACUCUCUAACCAUGGUUUCUCAAAUGCAGGUUGAUAAUUUCCUUCCCAAUUGUGGAUAGUU